UGGGGUCUUUAUUGAACUUGGUGUUCAUGA
RNAcentral lists this non-coding RNA (30 nucleotides) under Rattus norvegicus (Norway rat). The record is from RNAcentral. Lineage: Eukaryota; Metazoa; Chordata; Mammalia; Rodentia; Muridae.